GGGGAUAUAGCUCAGUUGGUAGAGUGCUUGCCUCGAGUGCACAAAGCCCUGGGUUCAAUCCUCAGCAUCACAA
Molecule: non-coding RNA, 73 nt
Organism: Ictidomys tridecemlineatus (thirteen-lined ground squirrel)
Lineage: Eukaryota; Metazoa; Chordata; Mammalia; Rodentia; Sciuridae
Source: Rfam